CCGUAACAGCUCAACAUUCAGUGGCCCAAUUUAUUACAUUUCAUUUAAUUUUUCCCCAAUCCCAUGUGCAUACCAAAUUAUCCAAUGCAGCAGCUACUGCCGUCCUAAAAACGGUGCACUUCAAUAAACACUGAUGGACCAAAACUUGCGUUUCACUUAAGCCUAGUGUCAGUCCAAAUCAAGCGGCCCAAUCUACAAUAAAGAAAAAAUUCAAAAUUAAAGAAAGAACAGAAAAAAAUUCAAAUGAAAGAAAAGAAUUUUUUACAAAAAGAUUUUCUUAAAAAAUAUAAAUUCUCUAAUUAUUUAAAAACUCUACAAAAUACAUCUAAAAACUUAUUUUUACUAAAAUUUUAUAAAACUACAAAUUUAUAGAAAAAUCCUAAAAAUAGUCCAAUUCUAAACAAUUAAGAAGUAAAAGAGACUAAGAAAGACUUCUAAGACUAAAAAAAGAUGCAAAAUUAUAGAGUUACCACACCCCCCACACUUAAGGAACUACCCUUAUGUGCAGGAAAAACUAGAAUGAAAAAGAAAAACAAAGAGACUCAAUAUACACAAGAAAGAUUCAACACAAAACAAAGAAAAGACUAAAGACAAAACAAGGAACUUUUUAAAUUCUAUCAGCUAACUCAAACCUGCCAAAACACACCAAUUCUUAGCUAUUUACUUAAAUCAGAACUGCACAAAAGAAUUCCUAACUUUAAACUCAAAUUUCAGCAAUUUUAGCAAAUGAGAAACAGUUUAAUCCACUCAAAUCAUAAAAGACAACAUAUGGAACAGUAGCAGUCAGCCUUAACCUCACAGGAAUAAGUGUAUGCACUCAGAUUCACUCAAGUGUUUGGGGGCAAUCCUGUUUCACUCAAUCAUGACAUGCUACCUACCAUUCACAACUUUGAAAAGAUUCUAGAUGUUAGUGCUUGACUCAAGGUUCAUCUAAAUCAAUAGGUCUUUAUUUGGCUUGUAAUGUUCAUGGAAUGAGAUGUCAAAAAACACAAGUCUUAAAUGGAAAUGGAGAAACUGUGAAGAAUAGGAAAGACAGAACUCAGUGCAAUGUUUUAGAUAUUUUUCCCAGUCCAAUUUUUGUUCUUUCUCUCUGGUUUUCAACUCUAUUCAAGUCUUUUCUUUCAAUUAUUUUGCAUUUUUGCUCUUUUUCCAGACCUGCUAUUUUCUUUUGCACACAACCAGAUUGCUCAGCUCAUUUUCUUCUUCUUCUUUUUUUUCACUUCUGUUCUGGCCUUUCUUUUCUAUAGCACUCACCAAGUUCCAACUCUCCCUACUUCUCACAAGUCUCUAAUGGUUGAUUAAUGAUGAGGUAAAAAGCUUAAAAUGGAUGGAAAGCAAGGAAAAGAGGCUAAGGCUCAAAUGAGGUGCAAUGGUAAGAAAAUAUGAAAUGGGUAAGCUCAAUUGGAAAAGUGAAGGAUGCCUAAAUCAUAUUCAAAGUUACCAAGAGCCAGCACAUCAACAAAGAAUCAAUGCAAAAUCAGAAUGACAAUUAAACAUGCAUGUAUCACACAAGAAAGACAAAAGCUGGCCCAAAAUCUCUUAAGGGUUUAAGAAUUGUUAAAACUGACUUGCUACUCAUCCUAUGCAAAAAUUACUGAAUUGAAAUGAACUAGAGACUGCAAAAAUUAAUGCUAGAACUACUUUUGCCUAAAUCUAAAGCUAAGUCUACUCUUGACAAUUCUAAUAUAAGGAAAAAAACAAAAAAGUUGAGUGAAAUCAACAAGGAAUGAAGGAAAACUUGAAACAGAAUCUAAAAGCUCCUAGAAAGACUAACCCUGAUUAACUAAGCUAUUUACAAUCUAAACAACUAAGACAAAACAGUACAGUAUGAUGAAAAGGAAAAACAAUUUCUACUAGACAACUUAAAACAAUUCCUAUACUAAAGCUCUAUAAAGCAAAACAUCAAAAGGAAAAGAAAAUAACCUAAACCUAAUAAGAAAUAGAUACCUAAGACAGAAUGAUAUUAACCUAACAAAUCCUAAUUACAAGUCUAGAAAGGAAACAACAAAAGAGGGAAGAAAGGAACCUAAACAACAUUUAUAAUAUCAAAACAAAGACGUAAGACACUAAAAACAAGACCUGAGACUAUGAGAACCUGAAAGAAAUUCUAACUAAAGACUAUAAACAAAACCUAAGUGAUGAAAAGAAUUUUUAAAACCAACAAAGCUUUAAGCAAUUUUAUUUACAAACUGAAACAUAACCUAGAAAAUGAAAAAAAGACUAAAACAACUACUAAGAAAGCUGCAACAGAACAAGAAACUAAAAGAAGGAAAAGAAAUUAGGAAAUAGUAAAAGAAAGGAAUCCUAAAAGAAGUUCUAACAGAAACAAUGCAAGUAAAAGAGCCUAAGCUAAAAAUGAAUGAAUGAACUAAACUAAAACAGAUUAUGAAAGUGAGUAUUUACAGACUAAAGCAAGAAUAACAGACUACACUAGGUAUUUAUAAACUACCAGACCUAAAACUAAAGGGAAAAACAACUCCA
This 2481-nucleotide long non-coding RNA is filed under the name Vigna radiata. RNAcentral's name for it is "long non-coding RNA (VRAD_LNC006063)". The record is from RNAcentral. Lineage: Eukaryota; Viridiplantae; Streptophyta; Magnoliopsida; Fabales; Fabaceae.